AGAAUCAACGCUGGCGGCGUGCCUAACACAUGCAAGUCGCACGAGAAAGGGGAGCAAUCCCUGAGUACAGUGGCGCACGGGUGAGUAACACGUGAAUCAUCUACCUCCGAGUGGGGAAUAACUGAGAGAAAUCUUAGCUAAUACCGCAUAAUACCCACGGGUCAAAGCAGUAAUGCGCUUGGAGAGGAGUUCGCGGCAGAUUAGUUAGUUGGCGGGGUAAUGGCCCACCAAGACGAUGAUCUGUAUCCGGCCUGAGAGGGCGCACGGACACACUGGAACUGAAACACGGUCCAGACUCCUACGGGAGGCAGCAGUGGGGAAUUUUGCGCAAUGGGGGAAACCCUGACGCAGCAACGCCGCGUGGAGGAUGAAGCCCCUUGGGUGUAAACUCCUUUCGAUCGGGAAGAUAAUGACGGUACCGAUAUAAGAAGCCCCGGCUAACUUCGCGCCAGCAGCCGC
This 459-nucleotide ribosomal RNA is filed under the name uncultured bacterium. RNAcentral describes it as "SSU rRNA". It matches the Rfam family "Bacterial small subunit ribosomal RNA", at positions 26 to 518 of the family's 1533-position model. The record is from RNAcentral.